GCGGCCCCGCGUCCUCCCCGUCUUUCCCGGGGCCCCGGGGCCUCCGGGAUCGCUGUCCCACCCCCCCCACCGCGGGUUGCGAGCGGCCUUGUCGCCGAGGCUGGGCUUGGGAGUGUAAGCACAGCUGUCACGCGCAGUGACUCUGGUCUCUCCCAGGCAGUGUGUGGAGCGCUCUGGACAGGAGACUCCAGGACCCGGGACCAGCUGCCUCAGUCCUCUCCUGCAGGAUUCCAUCACCUCUCCCAGCGCCGCCUCCAGAGUCCUCUGGCAUCUUUGAGAGCAGUGGACAAUGGAUAAAUCUCUGGAACCCUUGACCUUCAGAGAUGUGGCCGUAGAAUUCUUGCACGAGGAGUAGGACUGCCUGGACCAGGAGCAGUGGGAUUUGUACUGGGAUAUGAUGUUUGAGACCUACAGGAACCUGGUGUCCUUGGGUCUUGCUGUGUCUACGCCUGCGCUGGUCAUCUUGUUGGAGCAAAAAAAUGGAGCCCUGGGAUGUGAAGAGAAGUGCAGAUCCCGUCCUCCUCCCAGAUACCUGUACUGUGGAGUACCUGAUUAAAGCCAACCAGCCAAAUCAGGACAGAUGUUUGUGGCAAGUUGUUGUUGUCAACAGCAAAACGUCAACCAUGGAGGAACUUUGGGAAAACAAAUAAUUUGGACUCAAGUCAUUGUUUGAACCUGAAUAGCAGAAAUGGAAACAUUUCAGCAUCAAUGCCUGAGAAUUUUGCUGUAUGUAAGAAUAUGUUUAUCCCUGCUGAGCCUCAUGAGAUGCAUGCUACAAAGAAACUUGAGGUCUUUAGUAUGACUAGAGAAACUGUCAGGUAUCCUGAGCAUCAUAGUCAUCAGAUGAUAUAACUCAAAUAGGGGAGAGUCUCUGUACAAGUAACAAAAGGAGGAAACGUAUUGAUGAGAAACCAGUACAUUUGAAUCUUUGUCAACAUUUUGAAGAUAAACAGCAUAAAUGUAAUGAAAGUGGGGGUAAACUCAGCUUUAAAUUUCAUGUCAGUCAGCUUAAGAGAUCUCUGUUAGGAGAGAAUAUUUUUCAGUAAUAUACAUGCGGUGAAAUGUCUAAAAUGUGUUUUUACUGAGCAUGAGAAAAUACAAAUCCAUCAUAAACCUUCUGACACAUGUUUUAUUUCUUACACAAAAUGUAUCAGAGACGUGUCACUACAAAGAGGGUCUUUGGCUAUAAAGAAUGUGGGGAGGGGCUCCCCUGGUGGCGCAGGCGGUUGAGCUCCAACGCUGUGAAGUUGUCCGCAGCCUCUGCAGUGCCAGUUUGAUCCCGGCCGGCGGCCGAGCGUCCCACUUGGUGCAGCAGACCUCUCCUGUCUCGCCCGCUGCUCCCCUCAGCAGUGUAUUUCAUCAGUCUGCCUGUUCUGUUCCCCACUCUGUCUCUGGUGGAUCCUCUCACCCUCUCAUUCAUCUGGCCUGUACACCUGUUCUUCUAUAAAUAAAUAAAUCUUAAAAAAAAGAAAAAAGAAUGUGGGAAACCUUUCUCAUGGAAGACUGACCUCAGUGUACAUCAAAACUCACACAGUGUGCCUCCUUGGUGGCGCAGGGAUUUAAGACAGACCUGUCAAGCUAUCAACAGCCACUGUAGCAUGAGUUCAAUCCCCAGCCAACCAGGGAGUAUACCACAUGGUGCACGAAACCUCUCCUGCCUUGACUGCUGCUCCCCACUCUGGGAAAUCCUCUCACCCCCGCACCUCUGGCUUACACCCCAGCUCUUAUAUGUAUAAAUAAAAAAAUCUUUUUUUUUUUAAGAUUUUAUUAUUUAUACAAGCACUGGGUACACUCAGAAGCAUGGGAGGGUGAGAGAAUUCACUAGAGCCACAGUGGGGAGCAGAACAGGCAGACUGACGAAGUACAGUACUGCUGAGGGGAGCAGCAGGUGUGGCAGGAGAGGUCUGUGCUCCAUGUGGGACCCUCGCUGGCGGCUGGGGAUUGAACUGGCGCUGCAGAGGCUGUGGGCAGCUUCGCAGCCCAGCACUCAACUGCUGCGCCACCGGGGAGGCCCUAAAUAAAAAAAUCCUUAAAAAAAAAAAAAAAGCAGGAGUGAAGCAUUAUAAAUGUAAAGGCUAUAAGAAAUUGUUCUGACACAAGUCAGAUCUGAUUGUUCAUCAGACAACUCAUGCAGCAUAAAAACCCUAUGAGUGUCGAAAGUAUACGAAAACAUUCUACAGGAAAUCACGCCUCAUUUUAUAUCGGAAAGUCACACUGGAGCCAAACCCUAUGAAUGUUGAGACUUAGGAAAUGUUCAGUACGAUGGUUGACUUUUUAACAGUCUUAUUUGUAUACUUUUUAAGUCUUAUUUAGGAUAUUAUGAAGAAGUGGUGAAUGUAAUUCAGCACUAAUUCACUUCAUACUGUGGCUUUCUCCCCUUGUGUAUGUGAAGUCAUGCGUUUGCUUUUUUGCUGCUUUAAGCAUCUGAGAGACCCUCCUAGUAGAUGGAUUUGUUCAUAUCUAACUUGCAGGUAAAUUUAGGACAGUAAUGUGCCAUGUGUCAAGAAAAUCUAAAUGAAGAUGCUACUUCUGCUGGACUCAAAACAUUGAUCUAAAUUACCAAGACGAGUAUAGGCAUUAUUGUGAUAAAAGUCAGACACAGGAACAUGCUGGGGUUCAAAACAUUGCAUCAAUUUCUCCUUAAGAAAAUAUACUGACAGCUGAUUAAAAUCAUGAUAGUAAUAGAGAUCAUUAAUAUUAUUUGAUGUUUCCAAAAGAAAUCUUCAUAGGCACAUGAUGAGAGAACAAGUUACUUUCCAAUAACAGAGCAUAGAAUUGUGAGUGAGCACAUUAGCUAAGUAAUGAAGCUCCCUGUUGACCACCAACUCUGGGAUCCAGGAAGCAGAAGAACAAGAAUGUUUCUUAAAUGUCUGUGUCUUGAUUUUGACCAAAGAGCAUACACUGGUAUCUGAAUAUUUAGACUACAUGUGAACUUAAUAUAUGUUUUAAUAAAGCUGAUUUUUUAAAAAGAUUUAUUUAUGCAUACAAG
This is a long non-coding RNA of Talpa occidentalis (Iberian mole), 2989 nucleotides long. RefSeq lists it as uncharacterized. The record is from RefSeq and is a predicted model, not a curated record. Lineage: Eukaryota; Metazoa; Chordata; Mammalia; Eulipotyphla; Talpidae. The transcript has 5 exons.